GAUGAACGCUGGCGGCGUGCCUAACACAUGCAAGUCGAGCGCUCAGAUGAGGAGCUUGUUCCUCUGACGUUUGCGGCGGACGUGUGAGUAACAUGUGGAUCAUCUACCUUUCAUUCUGGUAAAACUCCGGGACACCUGCUCUAACACCGUAUACUAUAUUCAACCCCUUGGUUCUGUAGUGAAGGACGGUUUUGCUGUCACUUAUAGUCGGAUCCGGGCCGCAUUAGCUAGUUGGUAGGGUAACGGCUUACCAUGGCAACUAUGCGUAGCCGACCUGAGAGGGGGAUCGGCCACACGGGAAAUGAGACACGGGACAGGCUCCUACGUGAGGCGGCAGUAGGGAAUCUUGCGCAAUGGGCGAAAGCCUGACGGAGCAACGCGGCGUGAGUGAUGAAGGUCUGCGGAUCGUAAAACGCUGUUAUUAGGGGAGAACGAAUGUGUAGGUAACUAUGCUCGUCUUGGCGGUACCGGAUCAGAAAGCCACGGCAAACUACGU
RNAcentral lists this ribosomal RNA (496 nucleotides) under uncultured bacterium. RNAcentral's name for it is "partial 16S ribosomal RNA". It matches the Rfam family "Bacterial small subunit ribosomal RNA", at positions 28 to 506 of the family's 1533-position model. The record is from RNAcentral.